AUGCCUGCGUUCGUGCAGGUGCCGUGCCGCAUGCCUCCGCCGGGACCAUCGAGCCCCCCGGCUCCUCCUGCACAGAGUGGGGCCGGCCGAUGGCUCAGCAGCAUCAAUCCCGCAGCAGGUCCUCGCCGGCGGCCAGGAUUGCUCCCGGCAGCAUUAAUGGCUGCAGGCUGCCGCUCCGCAGCGGCGGCCCCGAAUUCCCAGCAGAGCAAGGGCAAAAGCAAUUACGCUGCUUUUUCCUGGCCAGCUCAGUCGAGGGAGGCGCGAGGUUGGUUUAACCCGACAGGAGCGUGUCGCGGGGCACCAGCUGCUGCUGGCACCGGGCAUGGCCGGAGGAACCAAGCCAGGAGGAACCAGCAAGCCGGGAGGACCAAAGCGCAGCCCAGGUGCGGUGCAAGGACGUGCCCACAGCACCACCGCUUCCCGUGGCACCUUGCACCAUCAUCCCAAGGGAGCCGCGCUCGCUGCGAUGGCCCCGGGACCGGCAUGGCCGUGGUGGCAGGGGUGCCGCGCCGGAUGCAGGCAGCCCUGCAGAGYGGCACGCGGCCCCACGGGGCUUGGAUGCAUCUGGCACCUCUCGCCUACCUCCUUUGUAAGGGUGAAAAGAAACUCCCGCUAUCGCCAGAAUUCAAAUGGGGACCUGGAGCAGGUUGCUCUGCCACACCGGGGAGAGCCUGGAAAAGCAGAGCUUGCAAAACUGCCCCCCGGAAAGCACAGACUCCGAGAGGCGAGAAAAGCAUGUGGCUUUCCCAGGCGGGGGAAGAAAGGAAAUCGCCGAGCCCUGCUUCCCGCUCCGCAGCAUUGCGGGGCUUUUCCGUCAGGCCCCGACGCCUCUCCCCGAGGAGUUUGCAGAGAUUUGAGGAUCGUUGCUGUUGCACCGGCAACUUCAAAAAACAAACAGGGAAAAAAAAAAAAGCGAAGCACGGGGGGUCAUUAGCGCUCUGCUGGUUUUGCACAGCGGUUCUUCUCUCGCCGGAGCAGAAGGACCCGAUUGACAAGGUCAGCUAA
RNAcentral lists this long non-coding RNA (1005 nucleotides) under Apteryx haastii (Great spotted kiwi). RNAcentral's name for it is "lncRNA (ENSAHAG00000016832.1)". Lineage: Eukaryota; Metazoa; Chordata; Aves; Apterygiformes; Apterygidae. The record is from RNAcentral.